RNAcentral lists this ribosomal RNA (300 nucleotides) under uncultured bacterium. Its description in RNAcentral is "bacterial SSU rRNA". It matches the Rfam family "Bacterial small subunit ribosomal RNA", at positions 1081 to 1382 of the family's 1533-position model. The record is from RNAcentral.
UAAGUCCCGCAACGAGCGCAACCCUCAUCUUUAGUUGCCAGCGGUUAGGCCGGGCACUCUAGAGAAACUGCCUGCGAUGAGCAGGAGGAAGGCGGGGAUGACGUCAAGUCCUCAUGGCCCUUAUGGACUGGGCUACACACGUGCUACAAUGGCGGUGACAAUGGGCAGCGAAGGGGCGACCUGGAGCAAAUCCCAAAAAGCCGUCCCAGUUCGGAUUGUACUCUGCAACUCGAGUGCAUGAAGUUGGAAUCGCUAGUAAUCGCGGAUCAGCAUGCCGCGGUGAAUACGUUCCCGGGCCUU